AGUUUGAUCAUGGCUCAGAGUGAACGCUGGCGGCAGGCCUAAUACAUGCAAGUCGAACGGCAGCACAGCAGAGCUUGCUCUGUGGGUGGCGAGUGGCGGACGGGUGAGGAUACAUGGGAAUCUGCCCAGUCGUGGGGAUAACGUAGGGAAACUUACGCUAAUACCGCAUGCGCCCUUCGGGGGAAAGCCGGGGACCUUCGGGCCUGGCGCGAUUGGAUGAGCCCAUGUCGGAUUAGCUAGUUGGCGGGGUAAUGGCCCACCAAGGCGACGAUCCGUAGCUGGUCUGAGAGGAUGAUCAGCCACACUGGAACUGAGACACGGUCCAGACUCCUACGGGAGGCAGCAGUAGGGAAUAUUGGACAAUGGGCGCAAGCCUGAUCCAGCCAUGCCGCGUGAGUGAAGAAGGCCCUCGGGUUGUAAAGCUCUUUUGUCCGGAAAGAAAAGCGCCGGGUUAAUACCCUAGUGUCCUGACGGUACCGGAAGAAUAAGCACCGGCUAACUUCGUG
This 506-nucleotide ribosomal RNA is filed under the name uncultured bacterium. RNAcentral describes it as "bacterial SSU rRNA". It matches the Rfam family "Bacterial small subunit ribosomal RNA", at positions 10 to 507 of the family's 1533-position model. The record is from RNAcentral.